AAGUAUCAAAUUUAAUUAUUAAAUAAACAAAGAAAAGGAUCCAAAUGAAAUCAACAUCUAGACUUAGGGUUUUAUCUGACAGAAUUCCACGAGUUUUGGUGUUUGUCUAUUUCUGCAGGGGGUUAUCAGGAAAUACGGAAGAAAGGCCCACACGUCGGGAUUACAUAGAGAUAUUAACGUGCCGCGCAAUUAUCUUACAUCUACAAGACUCCAGAAGACACG
Molecule: long non-coding RNA, 222 nt
Filed under: Sorghum bicolor (sorghum)
Lineage: Eukaryota; Viridiplantae; Streptophyta; Magnoliopsida; Poales; Poaceae
Description: long non-coding RNA (SBIC_LNC009169)
Source: RNAcentral